AACGCACAUUGCGCCCCUUGGUAUUCCGGGGGGCAUACCUGUUCGAGCGUCAUUACAGACCAUCAAGCUCAGGCUUGGAUUUUGGCCUUCGUCCCUGUUUCCAGAGGACGAGCCCUAAAAACAUCGGCGGUGGCCCCGAGCCCUCAAGCGUAGUAGAAUUUUAUCCCGCUUUGAGAAGGCCUUCGGGCGUCGCUCGCUUCCAGCAACCCCAAAUUUCUUAAGGUUGACCUCGGAUCAGGUAAGGAUACCCGCUGAACUUAA
RNAcentral lists this unclassified non-coding RNA (261 nucleotides) under uncultured fungus. RNAcentral describes it as "partial contains 5.8S ribosomal RNA, internal transcribed spacer 2, and large subunit ribosomal RNA". The record is from RNAcentral. Lineage: Eukaryota; Fungi.